GAGGCCUUGGCUUAAAGAUUAAAGUGUCUGAGUUGCAGUCAGAAGAUGUAGUUUGAUACAGGUCUUC
Molecule: transfer RNA, 67 nt
Filed under: Cyrtodactylus philippinicus
Lineage: Eukaryota; Metazoa; Chordata; Lepidosauria; Squamata; Gekkonidae
Description: tRNA-Ala
Rfam family: tRNA
About the family: Transfer RNA (tRNA) molecules are approximately 80 nucleotides in length. Their secondary structure includes four short double-helical elements and three loops (D, anti-codon, and T loops).
Source: RNAcentral